GUCGAGAAUUUUUCACAAUGGGCGAAAGCCUGAUGGAGCGACGCCGCGUGGGGGAUGAAUGGCUUCGGCCCGUAAACCCCUGUCAUUCGUGACCAAGGCCGGCGACCUAAUACGUUGCCGGUUGAUAGUAGCGAAAGAGGAAGGGACGGCUAACUCUGUGCCAGCAGCCGCGGUAAUACAGAGGUCCCAAGCGUUGUUCGGAUUCACUGGGCGUAAAGGGUGCGUAGGUGGUGAGGUAAGUUUGGUGUGAAAGCCCCGGGCCCAACCCGGGAACGGCACCGAAGACUAUCUCGCUGGAGGGUCGGAGGGGAGACUGGAAUUCUCGGUGUAGCAGUGAAAUGCGUAGAUAUCGAGAGGAACACCAGUGGCGAAGGCGAGUCUCUGGACGACUCCUGACACUGAGGCACGAAAGCUAGGGGAGCAAACAGGAUUAGAAACCCUUGUAGUCC
Molecule: ribosomal RNA, 449 nt
Filed under: uncultured bacterium
Lineage: Bacteria
Description: bacterial SSU rRNA
Rfam family: Bacterial small subunit ribosomal RNA
Source: RNAcentral